RNA transcript from Sitophilus oryzae (rice weevil), 1161 nucleotides. RefSeq lists it as uncharacterized. Lineage: Eukaryota; Metazoa; Arthropoda; Insecta; Coleoptera; Curculionidae. The transcript has 3 exons. The record is from RefSeq and is a predicted model, not a curated record.
GACAGAUACAGGCGUCAUGCAGUUAGUGGCGGCCCAGCUAGCUACAGUGCAGUGGUAUUGAAGGCGAGGAGACCGGAGGCAAGAUCGACACUGGUGGCAAGUACAUCUGCUGGCAUCCGGUGUUAUAAUGGGGGACCACUUAAGCAGCAAUUGCCCCAAACCUAAGGCGGAAAGGUGCAUGCGGUGUGGAAAGGCGGGACACGACAGGUUUGACAGCCCUAGUCGUAGUGGAGGACCGUCAGGAGGCGGAUCUGGCGCGAUUCCAAAGGCGAAGCACUGUCAGGGUGAUGUAAAACUUAAGGCGUAUAUAUCGACACUGGGAGUGAACGAAGCAUUAUAAGGCGCGAAAUGUUCGAUACUCUUGGUGACGAUAUUAAAGUUGACCCAUCGUCUGUGGUUUUACAGGAUUUUGGCGGCGGUACGUUCACAGUGAAAGGCGAGGUAAAAUUACCUAUCAUUGUGGACGGCAUCGCAAUAGAUGUUAAGGCGGUAAUUGCAGACUGCGAUCUUUUUGGCGCUGAUCUUCUUUUAGGUCAACCGGCGUUAGCUACCCCAGGCGUUACACUGACGGUCACCGAUGGCAAGGCGAAGCUCACUCGGGUUGACCCAGCAGCGGAGAUCACUCUGGAGGAUGAUGCAACAGAUCACUCUGGAGGAUGACAAGGCGAUGGCGUUACGCAAGGUGCUAUGCUUGGAAGACACAAGCAUGGAUCCUGGUGAAGAAGCAGACUUAUUGGUGGUGGUGUAUGGCGGAAAACAAAGCGAAAAGUAUUGGGUACCUGCCAAACGGUGUGAAAAGAAGGACAUCGUAUUGGCAAUAGGCGGACAGGUACUGGCGGUGAAUCUUCCAAGUUACAUGUGAAGAACGUAGGCGAAAAACAGAUGAUUUGGAAGACGGGAUGCGUCAUGGCGAGAUGCACCCUUAUAGGCGAAGUUACUGUUAAGGAUGGCCGAAUGUAACCAGUGAUUUUUCCGAGGCGAAGGAAAAUGGCAACGUGGCGACGGGCACGGCGAAGUAGCAUCGGAAACGCUGCAAGCUCUGGAACGAUCGGCGCAGGAGGCGAUGGUGGGAGAGCAGUCAGCUGGCGGGCGGGAGAAGCUAUCUAUCGGCUUCGGCGGGGGACGAAUCUUUUUGGUGAACUGGUGAUAUUUUUACUAUUA